CCGCCGGCGACCGGCGCACGGGUGAGUAACACGUAUGCAACCUGGCCGUGACAGAUGGAUAACCGGGAGAAAUCCCGCCUAAUACAACAUAAUGCCGGGAGGGGACAUCCCCUGCCGGCCAAAGGGGGCGACCCCGGUCACGGAUGGGCAUGCGGCGCAUUAGGUAGUUGGUGGGGCAACGGCCCACCAAGCCGACGAUGCGUAGGGGUUCUGAGAGGAAGGUCCCCCACAUUGGGACUGAGACACGGUCCAAACUCCUACGGGAGGCAGCAG
This 273-nucleotide ribosomal RNA is filed under the name uncultured bacterium. RNAcentral's name for it is "partial 16S ribosomal RNA". It matches the Rfam family "Bacterial small subunit ribosomal RNA", at positions 85 to 354 of the family's 1533-position model. The record is from RNAcentral.